RNAcentral lists this ribosomal RNA (253 nucleotides) under uncultured bacterium. Its description in RNAcentral is "partial 16S ribosomal RNA". It matches the Rfam family "Bacterial small subunit ribosomal RNA", at positions 524 to 776 of the family's 1533-position model. The record is from RNAcentral.
GACGUAGGGCGCGAGCGUUGUCCGGAUUUAUUGGGCGUAAAGAGCUCGUAGGCGGCUUGUCGCGUCGGGAGUGAAAACCUUGGGCUUAACUCAGGGCUUGCUUUCGAUACGGGCAGACUAGAGGUAUGCAGGGGAGAACGGAAUUCCUGGUGUAGCGGUGAAAUGCGCAGAUAUCAGGAGGAACACCGGUGGCGAAGGCGGUUCUCUGGGCAUGAUCUGACGCUGAGGAGCGAAAGUGUGGGGAGCGAACAGG